UAGGGAAUCUUCGGCAAUGGACGAAAGUCUGACCGAGCAACGCCGCGUGAGUGAAGAAGGUUUUCGGAUCGUAAAACUCUGUUGUUAGAGAAGAACAAGGACGUUAGUAACUGAACGUCCCCUGACGGUAUCUAACCAGAAAGCCACGGCUAACUACGUGCCAGCAGCCGCGGUAAUACGUAGGUGGCAAGCGUUGUUCGGAUUUAUUGGGCGUAAAGCGAGCGCAGGCGGUUUCUUAAGUCUGAUGUGAAAGCCCCCGGCUCAACCGGGGAGGGUCAUUGGAAGCUGGGAGACUUGAGUGCAGAAGAGGGGAGUGGAAUUCCAUGUGUAGCGGUGAAAUGCGUAGAUAUAUGGAGGAACACCAGUGGCGAAGGCGGCUCUCUGGUCUGUAACUGACGCUGAGGCUCGAAAGCGUGGGGAGCAAACAGG
RNAcentral lists this ribosomal RNA (429 nucleotides) under Gemmatimonadota bacterium. Its description in RNAcentral is "Gemmatimonadetes bacterium partial 16S ribosomal RNA". It matches the Rfam family "Bacterial small subunit ribosomal RNA", at positions 355 to 776 of the family's 1533-position model. The record is from RNAcentral. Lineage: Bacteria; Pseudomonadati; Gemmatimonadota.